UUAUGAUUGCUGCAGGUGCUGCAAAUGUGGGGGGGAAUUAAGCUUUGUGCCAGAGAAGUCUGGCAUUGACGGUCCUAUCAACAGCCCAAGAUGGAAACCAUUAUGAAAAACUGGUGAUAAGAACAUGCAGCAACCAAGGAUUUACAGGAUUGUCAGGCUGAGUUUUGCAUUGUGGAAUAUACAAAAUCAAUCCUGGAUGAGCAAGGGAUAGAUACAGGCAAAGGAGGAGCAGUUUGCAGAAGUGUUCUUGAAAAUCACCAUGUUAAAAGCUGUCAGCCAUCUCCAAAGAAAAUGCUUAUCUACGGGCAACGCUAAUAAAUGCAAACAGCAUGCCAUAUGGUCUCAUUAUCAAAACUUAGGGAAGAAACUCAACCAGCACAGCAUGGUGACCCACUGCACUCAGAGUUCUGGCCUGCAGCAUCAGGAGAAACAGCUGGAUUCAGAAAUACAAUUCAAUUUGAUUGCAUGGUCAGCCAAACACAUACCCAGGAAAUAAGUUACAAAACUGAAGAUCUUUGUGGCUACAAAUAUUUUAGGAACAUCAAACUACCGCUGAAUUAUUUUGAUGUUGCACUUGACAUUCCGUGUUAUUUUUGCUAGUUCUGGAGGAGGGAAGAUGGUAAGGGGGAGUGAAACCUACUGUCAGUAUUUUUCCUGUGAGGUUCAUGCCAUCUUUACCAUUAACUGUCUGCAAACACUCUUAAUUUUGAGAUAAUUGCUUUACUGUGCAUUGUAUGCUGAAAGGAGUAGUACGCUUCUGUGCAGAUUUGGUCCUUUAUUAUGAAACUCAGAAGCAUACUGUUGGACCAUGUGAUGGAUUCGGACUUGCUGUUCUCUAAAUUCCCUUGCCUUGGGAUCUAGGCUAAUGUUGGACUACCACUGCCAAAUUUGUUCUGGACUCAUCAGAAUCAGAAAGACCCCAUUAAAAUACGGUUGUUCAGGUUACAUUUUUGAUGUUGCAGAAGGA
RNAcentral lists this long non-coding RNA (967 nucleotides) under Numida meleagris (helmeted guineafowl). RNAcentral's name for it is "lncRNA (ENSNMEG00000008463.1)". Lineage: Eukaryota; Metazoa; Chordata; Aves; Galliformes; Numididae. The record is from RNAcentral.